UAUGCACCUCUAUGCACAUAUCUAUGUGUGUACUCAAGUACACAAGACUCUUCCCCAAGGUUGUAUAUGCAGGAACAGUUGAUGAAACCACCAACCAAUGAGAGUACACAUGGAGGGACCCAUGGCUCUAGCUGCAUAUGUAGCAGAGGAUGGCACUGUCUGGUAUCAAUAGGAGGAGAAGCCCUUGGUCCUGUGAAGGCUUGAUUCCCCCAGUGAAGGGAAAUGCCAAAGCAUUGAGGUGGGAGGGGGUGUGUGGGAGUGAGAGCAUCUUCAUAGAAGGAGGGGGAGGGGGAGUGAGGAUGGGAGAGAGGAGAAAGGGGAUAACAUUUGAAAUGUAAACACAUAAGAUAUCCAUAAAAAAACACACACAUAUUUUUACAUCCAUCUUAAUUUAAUAUAAAUAAAAAAUUUUAAAAAUUAAAAAAAAAAAA
This 431-nucleotide long non-coding RNA is filed under the name Rattus norvegicus (Norway rat). RNAcentral describes it as "long non-coding RNA NONRATT014738". The record is from RNAcentral. Lineage: Eukaryota; Metazoa; Chordata; Mammalia; Rodentia; Muridae.